Molecule: RNase P RNA, 212 nt
Filed under: Reyranella sp.
Lineage: Bacteria; Pseudomonadati; Pseudomonadota; Alphaproteobacteria; Hyphomicrobiales; Reyranellaceae
Description: partial RNase P RNA component class A
Rfam family: Bacterial RNase P class A
About the family: Ribonuclease P (RNase P) is a ubiquitous endoribonuclease, found in archaea, bacteria and eukarya as well as chloroplasts and mitochondria. Its best characterised activity is the generation of mature 5'-ends of tRNAs by cleaving the 5'-leader elements of precursor-tRNAs. Cellular RNase Ps are ribonucleoproteins.
Source: RNAcentral
GCGACCGGCAACGGAAGCGGCACGGCAAACCCCACCGGGAGCAAGACCAAAUAGGGGCGACACGCCGGGCAACCGGCAGCGGUGUUUCCGCGUCGUCGCCCGGGUCGGUCGCGCGAGGCGUUCGGCAACGGACGUCCCAGAGGAAUGGCCAUCCAUCGUCCCCGGCUUGCCGGGGGCGAGGACAGAACCCGGCUUACAGGCCGUCUGACCCG